CCCCGUAGAUGAACGCUGGCGGCAGGCCUAACACAUGCAAGUCGAGCGGCAGCGGAAAGUAGCUUGCUACUUUGCCGGCGAGCGGCGGACGGGUGAGUAAUGUCUGGGGAUCUGCCCGAUGGAGGGGGAUAACUACUGGAAACGGUAGCUAAUACCGCAUAACGUCGCAAGACCAAAGUGGGGGACCUUCGGGCCUCACACCAUCGGAUGAACCCAGAUGGGAUUAGCUAGUAGGUGGGGUAACGGCUCACCUAGGCGACGAUCCCUAGCUGGUCUGAGAGGAUGACCAGCCACACUGGAACUGAGACACGGUCCAGACUCCUACGGGAGGCAGCAGUGGGGAAUAUUGCACAAUGGGCGCAAGCCUGAUGCAGCCAUGCCGCGUGUGUGAAGAAGGCCUUCGGGUUGUAAAGCACUUUCAGCGGGGAGGAAGGAGUGAGUGUUAAUAGCACUCAUUAUUGACGUUACCCGCAGAAGAAGCACCGGCUAACUCCGUGCCAGCAGCCGCGGUAAUACGGAGGGUGCGAGCGUUAAUCGGAAUUACUGGGCGUAAAGCGUACGCAGGCGGUUUGUUAAGUCAGAUGUGAAAUCCCCGAGCUUAACUCGGGAACUGCAUUUGAAACUGGCAGGCUAGAGUCUCGUAGAGGGGGGUAGAAUUCCAGGUGUAGCGGUGAAAUGCGUAGAGAUCUGGAGGAAUACCGGUGGCGAAGGCGGCCCCCUGGACGAAGACUGACGCUCAGGUACGAAAGCGUGGGGAGCAAACAGGAUUAGAUACCCUGGUAGUCCACGCUGUAAACGAUGUCGAUUUGAAGGUUGUGGCCUUGAGCCGUGGCUUUCGGAGCUAACGCGUUAAAUCGACCGUCCUA
RNAcentral lists this ribosomal RNA (866 nucleotides) under Yersinia sp. (in: enterobacteria). RNAcentral's name for it is "bacterial SSU rRNA". It matches the Rfam family "Bacterial small subunit ribosomal RNA", at positions 20 to 873 of the family's 1533-position model. The record is from RNAcentral. Lineage: Bacteria; Pseudomonadati; Pseudomonadota; Gammaproteobacteria; Enterobacterales; Yersiniaceae.